RNAcentral lists this long non-coding RNA (949 nucleotides) under Homo sapiens (human). RNAcentral describes it as "HSALNT0369199". The record is from RNAcentral. Lineage: Eukaryota; Metazoa; Chordata; Mammalia; Primates; Hominidae.
GGUGGUACCGGAAGACGGUCUCCAAGGCGCGGAACUACUCAGUGGUGAAGGCUGUGCGGACACUGGGGGCCCGCCAGGGGUUUGGCCCCUUACUCAACCCAACCACGGUCCUCUCCGGCGCAGGCCGAUUUGAGGACCUAGACUCCUUGAUGCUGACGGCCUGAGGGGGCUCCCGGGUGCCGGAUAUCUGACACAGGCCAGGGAGGCUCCCCUGGGAGACCUGGCAGGCCUGGAGGUGUGAGUCGGCUCUGAGCAGCUGCUCUGGGAGAGCCAGUCCACGGAGCCAAAGCUGGAGGGCAGCUGCCGGCCACAAGUUGGGGAGGAGGAGAGACGCAAGGCCGUCAGAUGCUUGUCCUGGAAACCAACCAUGAGCUGUGAUGAAAUCCAGGCAACUGAGUUGUGUUUCAGCCCAAAGCAGCAAAUGGAAUCCAGCUUCAGGACCAUCAUCUGACAUAGGGGAAGAAGACUUACAUAGAAGGCCUAACCAGCACCCAAGAUCAUGGCUGGUGUCAGAGAAGGCUGAAUUGGGUACCAAGACAUUCCUUCUCUCCAGGUGGUAACAAGGACCCUCACAUGGUAUUAAUGAAGACCAAAUGUUUGAAUUUCUGCUUGACUUCUUCAAUUGUGAAAUCUGGAUCUAUGCAGGCUAGCCCUGUUUACUGCUGCUUACUCUAGGAAAUAGAAAUUGUCAGUGAACUUGGAACCAUUGUUUACCUGUAAAGUUUGUGUUGGUUUUCAAAUAUCAGUCCUGAAAUAAUAGUCUCUUUUCCUCCAUUCAUGUUUCUCAGAAAGACUUUAUUCAUUACCACAUAGUUCACAUGAACCCUACAGGCUUGAUAAUUUCUUAUCUUUCUAAUGUCCAGAUAGCAAUACACAAGAUGUACUCAUCAUCUUAGAGACAAACAUGGUGGAAUAGAGAAAGGAAAAAAAAUAUAUGUAGUAAAAACUG